AUGUCAUUUGCCGGCGUGUCUCUCGUCGGCGACGGCAAGGCCGUCGGCCACGCCAUCGACAUCCCCACUGCCAGUGGGUACCACCUGCUUGUGGUUAACCGCUACUCGCACACCAAAGCCACUGUAUCCAAUGGCACGAAGAUCGUCUCUCUCCCUUUCAUGAUAGGAAGUCAUCGUUGGCGCAUCAGCUACUAUCCUAAUGGCGGCCGCUCAGGGAGCGCCGACUCAAUAUCUCUCUUUCUACGUCUUCUUGACGAAGAUGUUGCAGAGGCUUUAAACAUGCAGUCCAUUUUUAGUUUUGUCGACGACCAUGAGAAGCAAGAUUCAGCAUAUAUACGUGCAAGCAAGGCAGCUAUCUUCUCAAGCUGUAAGAGAUGUUGGGUUUACAAGAAUUUCAUGAAAAGAGACGUCCUUGAGAAAUCAAAGCAUCUAAAGGAUGAUUGUUUAACCAUCCGAUGUGACGUCGCCAUUGCCACGACAGUUGAUCUCUUCAUCAAGGUACCGCCUUCUAGUAUAAAACAGCAUAUUAGCGACCUCCUCCUGUCCAAGAAGGGCACAGACGUGACAUUCAUGGUGUGUGGUGAGAAGUUUGCUGCCCAUCGAUGCAUGCUUGCAGCUCGAUCUACAGUCUUCAAGGUGGAGCUGUUUGGAUACAUGAAGGAGCGCAAAAUAGGAAGCGUCAUAGAUGUAGAAGAUGUGGAGGCAAAAGUGUUUGGUGCCUUGCUUAACUUUAUUUACACCGAUUCACUGCCUGACAUGGAGAUAGACAUGUCGGAGGAUGAAGGAGAAGCCCAAGAAGCACCUGUGGUUGCAACACUUGCUUGCAGCGGCCGAUAG
Molecule: ribosomal RNA, 837 nt
Filed under: Triticum aestivum (bread wheat)
Lineage: Eukaryota; Viridiplantae; Streptophyta; Magnoliopsida; Poales; Poaceae
Description: partial small subunit ribosomal RNA
Source: RNAcentral